CGCACAUUGCGCCCCUUGGUUAUUCCUCGGGGCAUGCCUAUUCGAGCGUCGUUUCGACCCUCGAGCGCAAGCUUGGUGUUGGGAGACGUCGCGGCCCACGGGCGGCGGCGCUCCUCGAAUCCAUCGGCGGCAGCAGCACGGCCUAAACGCAGCAGCAAUGCAGUUAGAAGCCCGCGGCGGCCCGCCGGAACCACCCGCCUUUUGGCACCUCGCUCGACCUCGAAUUAGGUAGGGAUACCCGCUGAACUUAA
This 251-nucleotide unclassified non-coding RNA is filed under the name Mycoleptodiscus terrestris. Its description in RNAcentral is "partial contains 5.8S ribosomal RNA, internal transcribed spacer 2, and large subunit ribosomal RNA". The record is from RNAcentral. Lineage: Eukaryota; Fungi; Ascomycota; Dothideomycetes; Muyocopronales; Muyocopronaceae.